AAAAACAAUACGAGAUAUCACUAUGAUGUGAAUAACUUUAAGCAUUUUUACCACUUAACCGACAAAAUGUUUUCCGAAAAAAAAAAUUAUAUUACUGAUAAUUUUUUUUUUUUUUGUGAGUAUUAGUUUUACUUUCCAUGAACCCCCACCCAUGGAAACCAAAUGGAGGCAACCAAAUUACGGUGAAUACUAUAGUCUAAGUGAAUAUUUAAAAAAAGGAAACGCCGAAUUUUAUUAAUAAAAAUUAAUUUAACGACUUAAUACAAAAUGCUUAAUAGUACUAGAAUCCAAAUCUAAACUGAUUUAUCUAAAACUGAUACUGGUAUAGGACUUGAAGUUGUACAUCAAGACAAAACAAAUCAAUUCCAAUUAAACGUUAACAGUAAAAUUUUCACAACCGAAUACUUAGCACUUCUUAAAGGAACCGAAUUAGCCCUUA
Molecule: non-coding RNA, 439 nt
Organism: Cinara cedri
Lineage: Eukaryota; Metazoa; Arthropoda; Insecta; Hemiptera; Aphididae
Source: the annotation of a GenBank genome assembly